RNAcentral lists this ribosomal RNA (117 nucleotides) under Mus caroli (Ryukyu mouse). The record is from RNAcentral. Lineage: Eukaryota; Metazoa; Chordata; Mammalia; Rodentia; Muridae.
GGCUCUGGCUGUACCAUCCUUAAUGCUUCAGAUUUCAUUUGACUCAGAAGCUAAUCAAGAUUGGGCCUACUUAGUACUUGGAUGAGAAACAUCUAGAAAUAUCAGGUGCUAGAGGCU